CGGAGGGUCCAGACGCCCGCCGGUCGAGACGGUGCGCAAGCCUCGUCGUCGACGGGAGGAAAGUCCGGGCUCCGCAGGGCAUGGGUGCAGGAAAACGGCCUGUCGGGGUGACUCGAAGGAAAGUGCCACAGAAAACACACCGCCCCGCCGGGCCGAAAGGCUGCGGGGCAAGGGCGAACCGGUGCGGCAAGGGCGCACCGCGUCGGCGGUGACGUCGACGGCAGGGCAAACCCCACCCGGAGCAAGGCGAGAGGUCCGCCGCAGAGGCGAAGCGCGGCCCGCGCGACCUCGAAGAGCCGCUGGACGGCGUCGGCAACGACGUCGCUGGAGGAAUGGGCGUCAGGCGGCGGAGGCAACGACGUCGCCGACAGAACCCGGCUUAUCGGGCCGCUCCGACGC
Molecule: RNase P RNA, 399 nt
Filed under: Deltaproteobacteria bacterium
Lineage: Bacteria; Pseudomonadati; Myxococcota; Myxococcia
Description: RNase P RNA component class A
Rfam family: Bacterial RNase P class A
About the family: Ribonuclease P (RNase P) is a ubiquitous endoribonuclease, found in archaea, bacteria and eukarya as well as chloroplasts and mitochondria. Its best characterised activity is the generation of mature 5'-ends of tRNAs by cleaving the 5'-leader elements of precursor-tRNAs.
Source: RNAcentral